This 465-nucleotide ribosomal RNA is filed under the name Vreelandella stevensii. Its description in RNAcentral is "partial 16S ribosomal RNA". It matches the Rfam family "Bacterial small subunit ribosomal RNA", at positions 338 to 795 of the family's 1533-position model. The record is from RNAcentral. Lineage: Bacteria; Pseudomonadati; Pseudomonadota; Gammaproteobacteria; Oceanospirillales; Halomonadaceae.
CCUACGGGGUGCUGCAGUGGGGAAUAUUGGACAAUGGGCGAAAGCCUGAUCCAGUCAUGCCGCGUGUGUGAAGAAGGCCUUCGGGUUGUAAAGCACUUUCAGUGGGGAAGAAAGCCUUGGGGCUAAUACCCUCGAGGAAGGACAUCACCCACAGAAGAAGCACCGGCUAACUCCGUGCCAGCAGCCGCGGUAAUACGGAGGGUGCGAGCGUUAAUCGGAAUUACUGGGCGUAAAGCGCGCGUAGGCGGUCUGAUAAGCCGGUUGUGAAAGCCCCGGGCUCAACCUGGGAACGGCAUCCGGAACUGUCAGGCUAGAGUGCAGGAGAGGAAGGUAGAAUUCCCGGUGUAGCGGUGAAAUGCGUAGAGAUCGGGAGGAAUACCAGUGGCGAAGGCGGCCUUCUGGACUGACACUGACGCUGAGGUGCGAAAGCGUGGGUAGCAAACAGGAUUAGAUACCCUUGUAGUC